This is a long non-coding RNA of Parus major (Great Tit), 6598 nucleotides long. RefSeq lists it as uncharacterized. The transcript has 3 exons. The record is from RefSeq and is a predicted model, not a curated record. NCBI's taxonomy places the organism in Eukaryota, Metazoa, Chordata, Aves, Passeriformes, Paridae.
CGGGCGAGCGGUGCCGCUGCCAACGACAGAAGGCUCGGGGCGGGGUGGGCGCAGCACCUCUUUUCUCCGUUCCCAGUGCCAUCCCCAUCCCGAAGGAGACGGGCGCCUACGCCCGCAGGGCGAUGGGAAAUAACGGGCUUGCGGGAUGCUACAGACGGACGGGGCUGGGACGGGGGGAAGAGGGCGCGAGCAUCGCGCAUGCGCAAACGGGAUUUUGUUUUUUGUUUUUUUUUUUUUUGCUGGGGCAGCCGCGCAUCCUCUUGGGCUGCGGCCGCUGGAACCUUCUGGAAAUGGCGGCGGCCUCAGCUGGUCACGGGGCGAGGUGGCAGACGAGAGCUUUUCCGGUCUUUGCCACGGGAUAGGAGCCGAUCUACAGCCACCAGCGCCCCCCGCUUUGCCUCGCCCCGUCCUGCCGCUGCCGCCCCCUCCCCGGGGAGGGGUUUUUCCGGCGGUGAUGGCGCAGUGAGUUUUAACUAUCCGGCGUAGUGCGCGUGCGCGGCGGGCGCAGCCCGUCCCGUUCCAUCUUAUCCUCUUCCAUCCCUUCACCGGGCGCUAGCGGCUGCGGAGGGGCUGCGGCUAAAGGCCCCGCAAUUUUUGGGAGAAGCCCCCGGACGCAGGAAUUAGAAAACUGACCACAACUUCACAAUCUGGAACAACUGGAAAAUACAGGUAAGCCAGCAAAGCAGCUUAAUCACUUAAAAGGAAAUGUAGUACUUACAUAGUAAUUGUCAUUUAUUUGUACCAUCGGUGCGUUCACGCAAGCACCUAAACAUUCCACUUCUAUUAGCGUGAAGAGCUUAUCAGGUGUUGUUUCCCCAACUUUAAUACCUAAACCAAUAAAUUAAUUAGGCUCAGCAAUGGUUAUGAACGAAAGUAAUAAAGCAUGAAUCUAAGUACACCAUGGACAUUGCAUUACUUGUAUUUUGGCUUUAAAAGCAUUUGCAAAGUUAAACCCCUUUAAAUGAGUCAAAAUGUUUCCUUUAAACAGAAGUUUCUACAAAAGCAUUAAAUCGGUUUUCAGAUACAUUUUUGAGACCUUGCUUACGGGUAUGAUUCAUUGAAAAAUAAUCACGAAAUGACAACUCUGAGAAACACAAAAGAUCUACUCAAGAACAUUUUUAGUAAUCAAUACAAUAAAAUGGAAAAAUAGGAACACAUAGCUUUUAUAUGCUGAUAGGAAAUAAAUUAAUAUACAGUGUUGAAUAUUCCCAAAUUAACCAACUUCCAAGCGUUGUUAGCUGCAAAUUCAUAAACAACUUUCAAGUUUAUACACAAAGGAUGAUUUACUGAACUGCACACAUACUUAUCAUCCAUGGCAUGUUACUGUUCUACUGCUAGAGAUGCAGACAUUCCUCAGAGAUGAGUUAGUUCAAGUAACAUCUCAGAGUCUGAUCUCUACAAAAUACUCCAUGGAAGGAAGAAUGCUGAAAAGCAGUUUUCCUCCAUUUACUAGCAGGAAGAGGUUGGAAAUAAUAGAAGUUGUAAGUAAGGCCUGUCUCAGUAAAAACUACAGAAUCAUACCUACUGUUUUGAUUUCUCAAGAUGACAGUUUCAGUUGAAAUUAAGCUAUCUAUGCAGUAACAAGACAUUUCAUCUAAAUAUGCCUUUUUCAGACAACAGAGAAUAUGCAAUGACAGAUAAUAGACAGCUGUUCGGCAGCUCUUAUCAAUGGUUCUUAGAAAAAGUUAACACAGAUUUUCAUAGAAGGGGAAGAGUUGUCAGUUGUUGAUCUUGUCCUCUCUUCCUCCCCAUAACCACCCAAAAAGGAGGAAAAACCCCUCAACUCACACACAAAACCCCUGAGUAGUGCUUGUAUGCACCAUGAUGCACCAUUCUCGACUGACUUUUUGGAGAACUCAUAAAUCAUGUUAACAUCACGUUAUCAUCCAGAGGGACCCUUGAUAGGCUGAAGAGGUGGGCCCAUGUGAACCUUAUGAAGUUGAACAAGGCCAUUUUCUUCUACUAUAUGAAAAAUUUUACUUCAGUAUCAUUAAAUAAAAGUAAAAAAUGCAAAAAGUACAUUACAAACUUGUGUCAUACCAAGUUUCUUCUUAAUGGCUUCUAAAAUGCUGUCAGAGUCUCGCAGCAUGCACGGUGUGGUGGUGCAGACCUGAAUGUGGUAUUUCCCGACAGGUUUGCGAUUGUACAUGGUGUAGAAGGUUGCUACUUCAUAGACUCUCAUGGGAGGCAUAUCUAAAACUUCAGCAACCUGUGACAGGAAAAACAUGCUAUGUUGAAUUCUCAGAUGGGAGCAGUGAAGGCGUUUGGCAAACCAUUUCAGUGAAGUCACCUGUCCUGUUUGCAGUAACAGUUAAGUAAGAGGGUGGGGGUGGGUAUCAAAGCACAAAUGUAUUCCACGUGCCAGACACUGGAGUUCUGUGACUGGCAUCAAACUCCAUGAAGCCACAAAUCUGCACAGCGAGGAGCCAAGUCAGCUCCCCUCCAGCAUCUCUUGUCAGACACAAGGGGGAUGCACGGAGUCAGCUGGGUGUGGGCUUUCCUUGUCAGCUCCAGCUCACACUGCACUUGGGCUGUGAAUGAACAAGCCUGUAUGAGCCUGCCCACACUAAUCCAUGGAAGCCUUUUGGUAAGGAAUACUUGCAAGCUGGUACUGUGGUUAUCUAAUUCAUAUAGAGCAAGUCUCCCUCAGAUUCUGUGACACACCAGGGCUGCAUCUGCAGAUUCCUGUCACAGCUAAUAAGUAGGGAAUGAAGCACGAUCUCCAUGGAGCCAGUUCAAGUAUCCCUGACCUCAUUAACCUGGAACCCUGGCAAACUGCUCAAGCUGAGAACUGGCUCUGGUUUCAAUAGUGUAACUGUUUAAGGUUCCAGUUUCUCUAGCAGGCAAAUAACAAAUCAUGGAAAAUAUUUGUUCAUUUAAAAGCCUUAAGAUCGUUUUAAACAUAGUAUCAACCUGAAACUUAAAUAAAUGAAGACACACUCCCAGCAUUAAUGGAGCUUUGAGGCUUCAUGUUAUGCUGUAGAAACUGUAGCAGACAUAAGUUCCCUUUCUUUAAAUGCUAAUUUAUCUCCUUCAAUCAUUUCUCUAAUGCUCACAAUCCUCACCUUAAAUUGAAUUUAAAGCUUUACACUUUAAAAUUGUUGAUAUUCCAGAUGGUUACACAAAGUACAACAGAUUUAUUAUGAAUAUUAUGAAUAUGAAUAUAAACCAUAUUUUUUUAUUUCUUGGUAUUUGGUUACUGUCAUGCAGCCUCUUACUUUGGAGCAGUGUAGUUGUUUGCCUGGUUAUUUUGAAACAAUUUUAAUAAUUAACCUGACAAGUCUUCUGGUUGCUUUCUGUGAGGUAAUACCCAACACUCUUAACAUCUACUACACCAACGCUGCUCUGCAGUCCUUACAGACUUAGAGAUUUAGUAUAAUUCAGGCAAUGUGUGAAAUGCCAUUAAUCUGUGAGGAAGAAAAUUCCACUGACAUUGCCUUUUUUCUUUCCCCACAUUCAGCAGUGAACAAAAUCAGGUUUCUGUUCCUAAUUCCAGGAUCGGUUUGGGAGAAGAGCCUAUCUGAAUAGGUUUUAUCUAAUUUUUGAUUUUGAUUUGUUUGUGGUGUCUAGCAAUGACCUAAUAUUACGUAAACAGAGCCCUGAGUUUUCUGCAUUAGUCUUCCCUUUUAUUUUUAAAAACCUAGUCUCAUAGGGAAUUCUCACAAUUGUGUGCCACAUGUAAAUUCCCAUGUUAGUAAGCUUUCAUUAAUUAAUGUUAAUAUUCUAGUAAGAUGUUGAAAGAAAACAAUAAAAUUAUGCUUGAAAGAUAAUUAAUUACUAAAUACCUUGUUCAUAGCUGAUAUGGGCAGCCAUCCAUGCUGUCUUUGGGCCAAAUCCAGUACUGCCAUGACAGCUGCAGACUUGUGUCCCUCUGGGUAGUUGUUUAUGAUCGCUUCUAUUCGCUUGUUGAAGGGAAAGAAGGAAAACAAAUCAGUACUGCUCUAAAGACAAAGAUGUCUGUGUAUUGAACUUUUUUUUGUCUGCAUACCUUUAGGUUUUCAGAUGUGAACUCAAAUGGAGUAUCUGGAUUGUUUUCAGGACUAUCUCUAUGCUGCAAGAAAAGAAAAACGUAAAAUUGGGUUGCCAGGAAAUCAUUUGGUACAUAUUUACUGUUGUAAAAUACAACAGUUACACAGUUACAGUUGAGCUGCUUGAAGAAAAACUAUAUAUUCCACAUAAAAAUUCUGUAAUAUUACAUUGAUGAAAUAUAUUUGGGAAAGGUAUCAAAAAUUGAUACUUAUUUAAUCGUUCUUGAAAAUCAUUACCUAUUCCCAUUACUUCCUAUUAAAAAAUUAUUUACUGAGUAAUACAUGAAAUUAUAUAUUGAGGAAAUGUAAGGUGUUGUUCUCAAAAUACACAUUUUUAACACUGUUAAUACAGUUUGACAAUUAUGUUGAAAUUUACAAUAGGCAGAGUAAGAACACCCUGGUUAAUACCUUAACAAACAAGAGACUAAAACAACAGUUUGUUUUUCCUUUUACCAUGAAACAUUAAUUUAAAAAAAAAUAAAUCACAAUUCAUCAAGAAGUUUGUUGUAGGAUUAAAACAUCUGCACAUUCAAACAAAUUAUUAGUCCAUUUUAACAUAUUGUUUUGAUUUUUAAUGGAUUUCAACAUUUUCAUUUUAUAUAUAAUUCUGAAUCAGAAUAUAAGAAGCAGACUUUUGAAUUAGUAUUUCAAAAAUAAGGUAUUCUAACAAGUUAUUUUUAAGGUGAUCUUCUGUGGAAACAUCAAAUUAUAAUUAGUUCUUCUGUAUUCAGACAAUAAAAAUUUGGAGGUCUUGAAAACGUAACAUUUUCCUGUACUAAAAUCUUAGUUCUGAUGAAAAUCCUUUUCCACCAGAAAAUGUUCCUGCACAAAAAAUUUAGCUGUCUUUAAGCAGCUCAUUUUGGUUUCCUUUAAAUACCUGUAAUUAGGUUUAAUUCCAAAUUUCAUAUGGUUUUCAAAUAGAGAAAACUUCAAAUUAAAUGCAAAGUUUUUGGGAAAACACCAGCUAUAUUUGAGGCUUUAUGUUAAAAGUAAUCAACAACCAGCCAAUAAUAAAAGCUUUAGAAGUGUAUUUAGAACAAAGAAAUCCCCUCCACUUCCAUUUGGAUCAUUUCCUCCAGUAAUCAAGGGCAAUUUUGCAGUUUCCACACUACACUCUUCUUACUGAGCAGCAAAGGAUUUAAUGAAAAGCCUUAACAUUGCCAAGACACUUCCACGCUUGAGUGUGUUUCAUCAGUGAAGAACUUAGAACAUGUGUGGACCACAGCUAUGCUUGGAUUUAUAAAUUUUAAUAAGGAAAUAUUACAAGGACAAAUACUUCAAUUACAUCUGUUGGUCUGUCCAGGGAUUACCUUUGCUUAUCCUGUUUACAUCCCAAAGUAGACAAUUUGACUGUUACCACCAGUUUGAAACCAUUGUGCCCUCACCACAGUUUCCAUAUAUAGUCCAAUAUAAAACUACCAUUGAUAAAUACUUCACUAAGGAUGACUUUCCUAUAGGAACAAGAAUUACUGAAAGAUGACUGAUGCCCUUUGAACAUGCUAGUAUUUUAUUAAGUGUUAAUUUCUUGCUUAUUGUGUUGUUUACAAAAUAACAUAAAAGAGCUUUUAGGAACAUGAUUCCCAUUAUUUUAGACUGACCCUUCCAGACAAAGGAUUUGAUGACUCAUACUUAGUGUCUUGAUGAGUGUUUUCUUCCAAUUUUAAUGGAAGUUCUCAAAAAGAGUCUGAUGGAAGAAAGGCUGGUUGGAAAUACUGUACAACUUUUAUUAUUUUUUUCCCUUAGAGACCUUUCCAUAUCUUAGCUGCACAGAUCAAUUCCACGAUUCAUAAGUAUUUCCAUAACUUAGCUUUUCCUUCUCAAAUCUGCAUGUCUAUUUUGCUAUUGUCUUCUGUAGUUAUUUGAUAGUUAGCAAUUGUAUUUCAUCUCAAUUUCCUUUGCAAAUAAAUGUACUUGAUUUAUUAAAACUCUCUCUUUGUCUGGAGCAGUUGUUUUUUUCAGUGUAUCAUCUUUAAACUGAUAUCCUUAAAUGCCCUACAUGUGAAGAGGAAUAAUAAAGACAUAUGUUAAAUUACAGAGUGGUUGAAGUUGGAAGGAACCUCUGGAAGUCAUCUGGGUCAAACUCCUCUGUUCAAGCAGAGCUGCUUGCCCAGGACUGUGUCCAGAUGGCUUUUUCUGAAUAUAUCCAAUAAUGGAGACUCCACAACCUCUCUGGGCAACCUGUUCCAGUGCUCUGUCAUCCUCAUAGUGAAAAAAAAUCCAGGGGGAGUCCAGUUUUCUGACUGUAUAUGAACACCUGGUGUUGAUUAAAAUGCCUUCAUCUCAAACCAGCAGGACAAGUUUCCCUUGAAAUUUGCCAUUUCAAGUAACAUCUGGAAUUCAGUUAGGGCAAACAGUUACACGCACAUACGGUGACAUCCAACUGUCUUCUUCCCAUUACUUCAGAGAAGAACAAAUAUUACCUUAUUAAAAAACAAUUGAGAAAGAAAAAUGAAACAAAAUAACAAGAAAAAACAAACUCCCACAGAAACAAGUUCUUAUUGCUCCUCUAGCAAAAAUUCUGCUGUGGAAUAAGUCAUCAAUGAUGCCAUUAAAUAAACAUCUGCAAACCA